GAUGAACGCUGGCGGCGUGCCUAAUACAUGCAAGUCGAGCGAACGGACGAGAAGCUUGCUUCUCUGAUGUUAGCGGCGGACGGGUGAGUAACACGUGGAUAACCUACCUAUAAGACUGGGAUAACUUCGGGAAACCGGAGCUAAUACCGGAUAAUAUUUUGAACCGCAUGGUUCAAAAGUGAAAGACGGUCUUGCUGUCACUUAUAGAUGGAUCCGCGCUGCAUUAGCUAGUUGGUAAGGUAACGGCUUACCAAGGCAACGAUGCAUAGCCGACCUGUGGGGGGGUUCGGCGCCUCUGAGACUGAGACACGAUCCAGACACCGACGGGAGGCAGCAGUAGGGAAUCGUCCGCGAAGGGCGGAAGCCUGACGGAGCAACGCCAGGUGGGUGAUGAAGCUCUGCGGGUCGUAAAACGCUGUUAUGGGGGAAGAACAUAUGUGUAAGUAACUGUGCGCGUCUGAACGGUACCGAUUCAGAAGGCCACGGCUAACAACGG
This 496-nucleotide ribosomal RNA is filed under the name uncultured bacterium. Its description in RNAcentral is "partial 16S ribosomal RNA". It matches the Rfam family "Bacterial small subunit ribosomal RNA", at positions 28 to 506 of the family's 1533-position model. The record is from RNAcentral.